Macadamia integrifolia is the source of this 1263-nucleotide RNA transcript. It is a transcript of the gene named protein YIPF1 homolog, with no coding region annotated. NCBI's taxonomy places the organism in Eukaryota, Viridiplantae, Streptophyta, Magnoliopsida, Proteales, Proteaceae. The transcript is spliced from 7 exons. The record is from RefSeq and is a predicted model, not a curated record.
CUCCCAAUCAGAAACCAGGUCGGGUCGUCCAGAGAAGUAUAAAAUGCUCAGUGAACUCCAAGGAAGAUCGACCCUCGUCCCACCAGAGGGAGAGAUCCUUCCGAGAGAAACAGUGUUGACUUUCCCGCGAUUUCCAUUCGUGAAAAGAUGAUGUCGAGCGGCUACACCAGUCUCGACAACCAGAAGGUCUCCGGAUCCGUGCCUGCGGCUUCAGAUCCUGGUCAUGUGACUGUUAAAUUUGCAGAGUCGAAUCUUCAGACAGUUGCACCUUCUCAAGCUCAAGGAAAGAUCUCCGGUGGCUUUCGUCCCCCGCGCGAUGCUGAUGACACUUUCUCCAAACCAGUGAAUGGGAGUGGAUCUGAUGAACCUGAGUCUAGUGGCUGGUUUCGAGGAUUCACGGUUGCUGCUUACAAACCAUACUUUGAUGUAGACACUUCAGAUGUAUUAGAGAGGAUUAAGGACUCACUUUUUCCAUUUAAGGGAAGCUUUUCUGAAAAGACUGCUAGCAAACCAGACUUGUAUGGGCCAUUUUGGAUUUGUACCACCUUAAUAUUUGUAGCAGCAUCCAUUGGCACAUUUGUCACGUACCUGGCACACAAACUGCAGAAUAAAGAAUGGGAGUAUGACAUAAAUCUGGUGACAUGGUCCGCUGGUUUGUUUUAUGGCUAUGUCACCAUUGUCCCACUUGGCUUGUAUAUCAUCCUAAAAUACUUCUCGGCUCCAUCUGGCCUCUCCCAGCUAUUUUGUCUAUAUGGUUACUCCCUAUUUGUCUUCAUUCCUGCCUCGGGAGGUCAGGGCAAAUUUCCCCCUUUUUCUCAAUUUGAGAUGGGGUAGUUCACCAUGAAUGUGCAAAUAGUUGCGAUAUGAAGAUUUAAGGAUAAGGCUCCUCAUUUGUCUGUGCUAGCAUGGUCUGGAUUAGAUUGGUUCAGUUCUGGCUCUGCCAUCAUGGCUCUCAUCCUCUCCUGAUCUUUUUCUAUAUUUAAGCUUACGCUGGGCAGUGGCAAAUGGGGCAGAACCCUUCUACGAAAAAAAAAGUUGUGCUUUGAAAGGGCUGAAGUUCCUUGAAUGAUGAAACUUUUUGAUUAUGUGAGGAUGCUUGUUAUUGUCUUCUCACUAUGAGGGUGUCUAUCUGUGGUACCUAUGGAAGUGUUCAGGUGGGCAGUUACAGGUGUUGCAGGGUUCAUGUCAGCGACGUUUGUUGCUCUUAAUCUCCGUGCUCACAUCAUGUCUACUGGAGAAAGGUGGUUAUUGAUUGUGACUGGG